This 1297-nucleotide long non-coding RNA is filed under the name Heterocephalus glaber (naked mole-rat). RNAcentral's name for it is "lncRNA (ENSHGLG00100037747.1)". Lineage: Eukaryota; Metazoa; Chordata; Mammalia; Rodentia; Bathyergidae. The record is from RNAcentral.
CCUAAAACCACAGCACCCCGAGGUGCCCGUGGCCCCGGGGAGACCUAGGACUGCAACUUUCCGCCACACAGACUUUCUUGAGUACUAGAAGAACCCGUUGUGCUGGCAGGUUGGAGUCCACUCUCGAGGCUCAGCCACUUGUUCCUGAGGACGUGAGCCUCAGUGGUCCCCACAGCACUGGCCCACCCCUCCCAGGAUGCCUCCGUUGCCCCACACGGCCUUUGCACUGGGGAGACACUGGCCUGGUGCUGCUCAGAGCCUGGGGUGUGGCCCAAGGCAGGCUCUCUGUGCUUCCCCGGCUGUCCUGGCCCAAGAGGACCCCAGUCCUGUAGCCCCAGCCCUGGGACAUCACAGGCUCCAAGCCCUGCCCUUAGUCCGUGCAGCCCCAUCGUUCCUUCUGUACCUUCUGUUCCAAAGAGGGUGUGGAAUACACCCCAGAAACAAGCCAAGCCCUGUUUCCUCCUGUGCCCUCCGCCAAUCUGACUGGAACCGUAACCCAUUCUCGGGCUCCUUCCAGAGUGACCACAGACCUGAGUUCCUCUCCAGACUCAAGACCCCCAUGCAGAGUCCAGAGCCCCAUCCCAGGUCCCACUAAUGCACCAACGAGACAUCACAGUGCGCCUGCAGCCCAUUUCCCAGAGAUCUGUUCGGCUUGCAACUAGCUGGGGAAAUUAUUUUCAAGACCAACUUCUCGGAUUGUGGUUCCCUCUUUUCUUUCCUCCUGGAACCCCCCCCACGCACCCCCAGCUUCAGAGCCAGGAAGCACACUGCUUGCAAGACAUCUUUGCAGCCCUCCCUCCUCCCAGCGUCCUGCCUGUAUCUGCAGCAAGUGCCUAGGCCGGGCCUGAGCCCCUGCUCCCCCACCCACAUCUCUCCCUCUCGCCGCAGAGACGGUGCGAGCCAUGACCCACGUCAUCAACCAGGGCAUGGCGAUGUACUGGGGCACGUCACGCUGGAGCUCCAUGGAGAUCAUGGAGGCCUACUCUGUGGCCCGGCAGUUCAACCUGAUCCCGCCCAUCUGCGAGCAGGCCGAGUACCACAUGUUCCAGCGCGAGAAGGUGGAGGUGCAGCUGCCUGAGCUGUUCCACAAGAUCGGGCUACCAGUGGCUGAAGGACAAGAUCCUGAGUGAGGAGGGUCGAGCGCCAGCAGGCUAAAGCUGAAGGAGCUGCAGGCUAUCCGCUGAGCGCCUGGGCUGCUCCCUCCCGCAGCUGGCAAUAGGUGAGGCUGGGCAUGGGGACAGGCCGUGUCCAGGGGCGUGGCAGAGGAGGUCCCCAAGAGCCCAGGCUAUGGUGUCCC